GAUUAUGGCUCAGGACGAACGCUGGCGGCGCGCCUAACACAUGCAAGUCGAACGGAGAGUGUGUUUGAAUCUUUCGGGAUGAAAAGUGCAUUUCUUAGUGGCGGACGGGUGAGUAACACGUGAGCAACCUGCCUUGCAGAGCGGGAUAACGGUUGGAAACGAUCGCUAAUACCGCAUAACAUAUGAUUGUCGCAUGGCUUUCAUAUCAAAGAUUUAUCGCUGCAGGAUGGGCUCGCGUCUGAUUAGAUAGUUGGUGGGGUAAUGGCCCACCAAGUCGACGAUCAGUAGCCGGACUGAGAGGUUGAACGGCCACAUUGGGACUGAGACACGGCCCAGACUCCUACGGGAGGCAGCAGUGGGGGAUAUUGCACAAUGGGGGGAAAAACCUCUGAUGCAGCGACGCCGCGUGAGGGAAGAAGGUUUUCGGAUUGUAAACCUCUGUCUUUGGGGACGAUAAUGACGGUACCCAAGGAGGAAGCUCCGGCUAACUACGUGCCAGCCGCGGC
RNAcentral lists this ribosomal RNA (506 nucleotides) under uncultured bacterium. RNAcentral's name for it is "bacterial SSU rRNA". It matches the Rfam family "Bacterial small subunit ribosomal RNA", at positions 15 to 518 of the family's 1533-position model. The record is from RNAcentral.